Molecule: long non-coding RNA, 847 nt
Organism: Haliaeetus leucocephalus (bald eagle)
Lineage: Eukaryota; Metazoa; Chordata; Aves; Accipitriformes; Accipitridae
Exons: 7
Source: RefSeq, a predicted model, not a curated record
ACUCUGUUAAGAAUAGCUGUAUUAGGUGGGCCCAAGGGUCCAUCUUGCCCAGUAUCGUGUCUACAGCAGUGGCCAUGAGUGGAUGCCUGAAAAGGGUGAAGCUUAAGGCUGCUCAAAGAUCUGGAUGAGAGGGCUCACCACCUUGGAAUUAAAGCUGGGAAAUGCUUUUGGAAAAACAGAACAUGUGCUGGAUGAGGAUAGUGUUGUCCCUCUGGCCUGGCAGGUCACAGCUGAAAUUAACCAUGAGAUAUUUAACACUGAAGUGGAGGAGAAAGCUGAAAAACUAGGAGAGCAACUACUUGAAAACCGGAAAUCCUUGAAGAAAGGAGCUGGUUUUACAGAAACAGAGGUGGCCCUAGGAGUUUGAGGGGCUGCGAGGACAGACUGCUUGCCUGCCUGCCUGCUGAAGCCCUGCACCAGAGGCAGAGGCUGUUCCCUGGAGUAAAGGAGUUUCAGGUUGGUGCCACCAAGAUGUGCGUCUGCCUUAGCCAGUGAGGAUCCGUGCAUGCAAGGGAACAUGUCUGUACCCAACAGCAAUGACCUGUCCCACUCCUUCUUCACGCAACAUGUGGGAAGCCAUUUAGUAAUGCUGUUACUUCCUUGUUUUCACCGGGAUGGGAAACCAGAGAAAUAGGAAAAAUAAGAGUGAAAGCUGUAGUGGUCAUUAGGAUUGUGGAGCUGCCCACUUUUAAUAUACAGCUCCACAGGUCUGGGGCCUGCCCUGAAAUUCCAGCUCGUGGGGAGCCUCCAGUCCUCCUGGGGAAGGAUUCACAGAUGGGUCCGAAAUCAGAGCAGCUGAUGUUGUCCUCUCCUGCCAGGAGGGUGAGGACCACCAUCACCAUCACCA